Long non-coding RNA from Podarcis muralis (Common wall lizard), 1983 nucleotides. RefSeq lists it as uncharacterized. NCBI's taxonomy places the organism in Eukaryota, Metazoa, Chordata, Lepidosauria, Squamata, Lacertidae. The record is from RefSeq and is a predicted model, not a curated record.
CUCCCGCCUCCCUCCCACGGCACACCAGGCAAGGUCUCACGGCACACCAGUGUGCCGCGGAACACCGGUUGGGAAACACUGAUGUAAAGGCUAAGAAUAAUGUAUUAAUGUUUUCCUUUUUAUUUAUCAUCAAGCAAGCACUACUAUAGCUGUUCUUUGCACUGACUGUUUUUGAUGCCCAUAAUUCCCAUACAAUGCUGGGACCUCACAGCGAUAAAUGGAUCCCAAGACUGAAGUGUUAUGGUAGGCUAUGACAUUAUAAAGUGUGCUGUCCUUCUGCACACAUGUUUGCCUGGGGCACAAAUGUAUGACAUAUUAUUCUCCCAAGGACCAAGAUGAUUAUCUUAAAGCAAGACAUCACAGGUAAAGUAAUUAUCUCAAAGAAAGACAUUUGGUUUAGAAGAGCAUAACCUUAGAAUCAGGUUUGCCGUUUGAAGGUGAUUCUGGAACCAGCCAUGCUCCUGAGUGAUCAUGCAGUAGUGGAGUGCCCUCUUUGCUAGUUCCAGUUGGUUCCCUUUUUGUGAAAAUCCUGGCCUAACUUCAUUCAUUCUCCUGUUCUAGUCACUUCCAGGUUGCAUUAUUGCAAUACAUCUGGGGAUGUUUAGGAAGACAGUUAAGAAAAUUAAAUGGGUUCAGACUGCCACCACCAUAAUAUUAAGUGAAGCCGGAAGGUCACAAUUAUAACUCUCCUAAAAAAGAGAGAGAGAAUUAUAACAUCUGCUCUGGUUUUCAGACUUAACUUAAGGUGCUGUUUUUUAUCUUUAUGGCACAGGAAUAAUCUCUGCCCAUAUUAAACUGCCUCCUCAUUUAAGCCACAUUGCUCUUGAAUCAUGUCACCAAAAUAGAUUAUUUCCGAAUACCACACUGGGUCUUGUAUUCCCAGUUGUUCCUCCCUUAAUCUUGUAGUUUUAUGUUACUUUGUGCCAAAGUCCAACCCCCUGCAAUGCAGGAAUCUUUUUGCCCAAUGUGGGGCUCGAACCCAUGACCUUGAAAUUAUGAGUCUCAUGCUCUUAAUAACUGAGCAAUCCCACUGGCUAUAUACCAGAUAAAAUGGGUCAGGCAGCCAUGAAAUAUUCUUACUAUUGAGUAUAUUUAUUAUUAUUUAUUAAAAUUUAAGACCUCACUCUACACCUUUGUUUAAAAUACAGUUGUUUUAAUAAAAAUAAGACUUUGGCCUAGAUUCAGCUAACUCUGCAUUUUAGCAGAGGUCAGUCCAAGGGCUCCUGCUAAUGCAACAGGGCUUUUCUUCUCCUCCUCCUGUCCACGCAUUUCCCCAAAUUCACCUGGGAGAGUCAGGAGAACCCUCAGCACAGCAUGCAGGGGAGGAGAGAGGAGGUUGUUCCUCUUGGCAAACAGAACUGCUUGCGCCAAAUGAUUAGAAGACGGUGAUGCUGAAUUUCUCCCAUUACCUUUAACUUUUAUCUGCCUUUUCCUGGGUCUUUCACCUAUCAGCUGACUUACAUCAAGCAAUUAUAGGCUUGCGUUGGGAGAUAGGGUUAUUGCUGUCCCAGCCCCUGUAACCUUUGCUGGAAAUGCUGUGUAAUAGAGAAGGAAUGGAACUCUCUGAACUAAAGAUAACAAGAUUUUUCUUUCUUUCUUUAAAGGCCAGGCCAGCAAUUCUUUCUUUCCUCUGGCAAGAAACUGCUCUUGUUAAUGAGUGGAUGCUCUGCAUUGAGGGAUGUCUGACCGGCAUCCUGAUCAUCUUAUCAAAUGCUAAUGUUUUGUGUAAACUGUGUCUGGAACUAUGUAAAACUUGCUAAAUCCUCAGGAAUAUCACAGCUUGGCCUGUCUGAGCCACAGUAACCUCACCUUGUGUGUGAUAUAAUUUCUGAAUGUUUGUAGAGGGGAUGUGCUUCUUCUCUACGACAAAAUGCAAACCUUUAAAAGUGAUGUUUCUUCUUGGUUCUGGGUCUCUCUUGCCUCCUUGCAAGGAGUGGAGGGAACUCUGUUGCAACAGAAAAAUAAAGAUCUGUCUUGGUUUCA